Long non-coding RNA from Pteropus alecto (black flying fox), 938 nucleotides. RefSeq lists it as uncharacterized. NCBI's taxonomy places the organism in Eukaryota, Metazoa, Chordata, Mammalia, Chiroptera, Pteropodidae. The transcript has 3 exons. The record is from RefSeq and is a predicted model, not a curated record.
UCACCUGCAGGGCGAACUCUGCUGGAGAAGCUGUUCAGCCAGCAGGAGAACGGACCUCCAGAAGAAGCAGAGAAGUUCUGCUCACGGAUCAUUGCCAUGGGCCUCCUGCUUCCUUUUAGUGACUGCUUCAGGGACCCGUGUAAUCAGAGUGCCCAGUCAAGUUCAGCUCCAUUUGAUCUGCCAUUCACCAAGAGAGCUAAAACCGCGGAACAGUAAUUCAAGCUGCAUAUUCAUAAUUCAGGACGAAUAUCAGCACAGCUGGAUUAUCAUUUUCAAGCCACAGUAUUGCUAAUCUCUCAGACUUCUUUAAUUUUUAUGCUGUUGAUCAAGGAGUGAAAUGAUGAUGAGUUUUGAAAGACAAUGAAAAUGAGCCCUGGCUGAGAUCAAGAUGCAAUCAAUACUAAAUAACCAAAUGUCCGUAUGUGCCUGUUUUUAUUUUUCUGCUUUUUUACCCAUUACAAACUGUGGUUUUCCUUGAUCUUCCUUCAGUAUUAGGAAAAUAAAUUGCAUAAGGUAUUGUGAGACCAUUUUGGUAACUUCUCACGUGAAAGAAGACUCCUCAGGAUGUGCUGUGACUUGUGAAGCUUCCUUCUUAAGACUUAUCUGUUUAUUUUUUUAAUGAUCUGGCAGCUAAUCUCUGCUAGGUAGAUCUUUUUCUUCCAUGAGAAGAAUGGGAUGAUUCAAAUGAUUUCCUCCCUUCCCUUUGUCCUCCGCAAGCGGUGUGAGGAGUACGGUGGGCUAAAAGUGCUGUAGAGCUGUGUUCUGAGUUGGAAUUAAAGUGAAUGCAGUACAAAGGCAAACACUAGCUGUGUCUAAUGCUUGCUUUUUAAUUAAAACUCUCUGGGUUGUCUGCUCUGUCCUCCCUUAAAGCUCAGAGGUAAAGUCUUAUUCUGUAAAUGUGAAGUUGGAGUAAACUGAAAAGAGUAGGAUAAUUCUAA